This 253-nucleotide ribosomal RNA is filed under the name uncultured bacterium. RNAcentral describes it as "partial 16S ribosomal RNA". It matches the Rfam family "Bacterial small subunit ribosomal RNA", at positions 524 to 776 of the family's 1533-position model. The record is from RNAcentral.
UACGAAGGGGGCGAGCGUUGUUCGGAAUCACUGGGCGUAAAGGGCGCGUAGGCGGCCCUCUUAGUCGCGUGGGAAAGCCCCGGGCUCAACCUGGGAACGGCGCGCGAAACGGGAGGGCUGGAGUUCGGGAGAGGAGAGUGGAAUUCUCAGUGUAGAGGUGAAAUUCGUAGAUAUUGGGAAGAACACCGAUGGCGAAGGCAGCCAUCUGGACCGACACUGACGCUGAGGCGCGAAAGCGUGGGGAGCAAACAGG